Molecule: non-coding RNA, 75 nt
Organism: Haemonchus contortus (barber pole worm)
Lineage: Eukaryota; Metazoa; Nematoda; Chromadorea; Rhabditida; Trichostrongylidae
Source: Rfam
GGCCCAAAUUUGAAGUAUAGUAGAUUAGUAAGGCCAGCUGUUACUACUAAUCUACUCUGCUUCGAAUUUGGGCCC